CAUACGGCAAUGAAGGAACAAGUGUGAGACGUUGGAUAUAAAAUGAUGGGAGGCCCCUGGCGCGCUCAAUGUGUAUAUGUCUCUCGGCUUCUUCUCCGGGAAAUAGUGCGGGCGCACAUAGUUUUGGAGCGAAAUGAAACAUAAUGGAUGGGUCAUCGUAUGGAAAAAAUGUAUUGGAUUUCAUACACACAUUUGAAU
Molecule: non-coding RNA, 198 nt
Organism: Caenorhabditis elegans
Lineage: Eukaryota; Metazoa; Nematoda; Chromadorea; Rhabditida; Rhabditidae
Source: Ensembl